Oreochromis niloticus (Nile tilapia) is the source of this 1257-nucleotide long non-coding RNA. RefSeq lists it as uncharacterized. The record is from RefSeq and is a predicted model, not a curated record. Lineage: Eukaryota; Metazoa; Chordata; Actinopteri; Cichliformes; Cichlidae. The transcript is spliced from 3 exons.
GGGAGAGAGAGAGAGUGAGAGAUGGAGGCUGGAGGAAGCCGGCGGACGACUGCGGUGAAAAAAGCAUGUGAGGAGGAAAAAGGCAGUUUGGGAGCAGGACAGUGAUGGCAGCCGGUGGAAGAAGAAGAGGCACCCUGCCGCUCGGGGCCCUCCAAACCCGAGCCCACACAGACCAGACCAAAGCAGAGGAGAUCCAAGCUGGCCUCUCCCCGGAUUGCCUCAGCAGUACAGAUGCAGACUGCCUCGUCCUCCUUUGGCUGAGCGCGUGGAGGAAGUCAGAAGCAUCACCUGUGCCUGAUCACAUGAUCGCACUCUGACCUUUUUUCUGUCUUUUUUUUUGAACUGGCACUUUUGGAAAUGAAACUUGGCCCAGAUUUAAUCACACUAAUGUUCCCUCCAACACAAUUAAUAUAAUUAAAUGUCAAAUUAAAAGUAUAUAAUGCAUGCUUUGAUCAUUUUGCUUUUGCUUUACAGGAACAAAACACGACAUUGCUUUGAAAUAUACAUGCAUGCAGCAAUAUUUGCAACACAUGCACAAGAAGCUUUUUACAUAGUAGUCCACAUUUUGCCUUUGCUUUCAAAUAGUGGCUUGAAUAAUUAAAUGGCCUACCCAGUCAAAACAGUCUUUGGUGAAAAGAGCUUUCAUGAAGAGGAGUUACUAUUUACUAUAAUCUCAUAAUUCUUCUCAAUCCCCACCACCACCCUGCACAUAUGCUUCAUGUUUGUUUAAAGCAAAUAGAAGCUGCACAAGUAAAAAGUGACAUGUGUUUAGGCUGUACUGGUUUAUGUACAGCCUGCACAGACAAAAAUAUCCCAUAGGUUUUGUGUUCACAGGUACGCGGCUAAAUAAAGUUUGUCUACAGCUGCUCCCAGUCUUAAAAACACAACAGGAGGAGGGUUAAAAAGAUUCAGAGUCCUCGAAUCCUCAGACAUCACAGCAAAUAGUCGCCUGCUUUCGAGCAACAUGCAGCGAACAUGCUCUGCGUUGUCAAACGGUUAAUUUCCCGUCAUGCAUCUGCGUUGCCACUAAAAGGUCUCUCGUUGCUGAUUAACAUAUUACCGCUGGACAUUUUCUUCCUUUUUUUCCUGCACAAAAAAGCGGGCUGUUUUACGGUAACUUAUUUAUUCCUGCAACGAGGUUUGUUUACUUGUUAAUAAGCCAGACUUAACAUUUAACUUCAUGUGCAUUUGCAAAUUUCCUCUAUUGUUGAGAAAGAUGCUGCUGAGCAUUUUUUUUGGCAUUUGGCUCACAUGAAU